Molecule: non-coding RNA, 80 nt
Organism: Caerostris darwini
Lineage: Eukaryota; Metazoa; Arthropoda; Arachnida; Araneae; Araneidae
Source: the annotation of a GenBank genome assembly
AACGGCCAUACCAUGCUGAAUAUAUCGGUUUUCGUUAGAUCACCGAAGUCAAGCAUCAUUGGGCGCAGUCAGUACCUGGG